Cenococcum geophilum 1.58 is the source of this 144-nucleotide non-coding RNA. The record is from the annotation of a GenBank genome assembly. Lineage: Eukaryota; Fungi; Ascomycota; Dothideomycetes; Gloniales; Gloniaceae.
UCCGUUGUGGUCUAGGGGCUAGGAUUGUGAUUACCCCCAAAUCUCCCAUACACAACUUCGUUCUCAUAAUGUCUAGUGCCGCUCUCAGAGCUUUUACACUUAACAAGUGCCGGCAAGGCCCGGGUUCGAUUCCCGGCGACGGAA